RNAcentral lists this ribosomal RNA (498 nucleotides) under uncultured Glomeromycotina. Its description in RNAcentral is "partial small subunit ribosomal RNA". It matches the Rfam family "Eukaryotic small subunit ribosomal RNA", at positions 591 to 1092 of the family's 1831-position model. Lineage: Eukaryota; Fungi; Glomeromycota. The record is from RNAcentral.
CCAAUAGCGUAUAUUAAAGUUGUUGCAGUUAAAAAGCUCGUAGUUGAAUUUUGGAUUCUGCCAGUUGGUCCAUCUUUUGAUGAGUACUGAUUGUGCGGGGUCUAUCCGCCUGGGGAGACGUAAUGUACUUUAUUGUAUGUUGCGGGUAGCCAGGACCUUUACCUUGAAAAAAUUAGAGUGUUUAAAGCAGGCUUAUGCCGGAAUACAUUAGCAUGGAAUAAUAGAAUAGGACGAUGUUGUUUUAUUUUGUUGGUUUCUAGGACAACCGUAAUGAUUAAUAGGGAUAGUUGGGGGCAUUAGUAUUCAAUUGUCAGAGGUGAAAUUCUUGGAUUUAUUGAAGACUAACUACUGCGAAAGCAUUUGCCAAGGAUGUUUUCAUUAAUCAAGAACGAAAGUUAGGGGAUCGAAGACGAUCAGAUACCGUCGUAGUCUUAACCAUAAACUAUGCCGACUAGGGAUCGGGCGAUGUUGUUUCCAUGACUCGCUCGGCACCUUAUG